Molecule: ribosomal RNA, 253 nt
Filed under: uncultured bacterium
Lineage: Bacteria
Description: partial 16S ribosomal RNA
Rfam family: Bacterial small subunit ribosomal RNA
Source: RNAcentral
UACGUAGGGUGCAAGCGUUGUCCGGAAUCAUUGGGCGUAAAGCGCGCGUAGGUGGCUUCGUAAGUCCGUUGUGAAAGUCAAAGGCUCAACCUUUGAAUGCCGAUGGAUACUGCGAAGCUAGAGUACGGAAGAGGCGAGUGGAAUUCCUGGUGUAGCGGUGGAAUGCGCAGAUAUCAGGAGGAACACCAAUAGCGAAGGCAGCUCGCUGGGACGGUACUGACGCUGAGACGCGAAAGCGUGGGGAGCAAACAGG